UACGAGGGGGGCAAGCGUUGUUCGGAAUUAUUGGGCGUAAAGGGCGCGUAGGCGGUGCGGUAAGUCUGAUGUGAAAUCUCCGGGCUCAACUCGGAGUCUGCAUCAGAAACUGCCGUGCUCGAGUGUGGGAGAGGUGAGUGGAAUUCCCGGUGUAGCGGUGAAAUGCGUAGAUAUCAGGAGGAACACCGAUGGCGAAGGCAGGUCUCUGGGCCACUACUGACGCUGAGAAGCGGAAGCAUGGGGAGCGAACAGG
Molecule: ribosomal RNA, 253 nt
Filed under: uncultured bacterium
Lineage: Bacteria
Description: partial 16S ribosomal RNA
Rfam family: Bacterial small subunit ribosomal RNA
Source: RNAcentral